This 253-nucleotide ribosomal RNA is filed under the name uncultured bacterium. RNAcentral's name for it is "partial 16S ribosomal RNA". It matches the Rfam family "Bacterial small subunit ribosomal RNA", at positions 524 to 776 of the family's 1533-position model. The record is from RNAcentral.
UACGUAGGGGGCAAGCGUUGUCCGGAAUCAUUGGGCGUAAAGAGCGUGUAGGCGGCCAGAAAAGUCCGCUGUGAAAACUCGAGGCUCAACUUCGAGCUGUCGGUGGAAACUUUCUGGCUAGAGUCCGGAAGAGGAGAAUGGAAUUCCUGGUGUAGCGGUGAAAUGCGCAGAUAUCAGGAGGAACACCGAUGGCGAAGGCAGGUCUCUGGGCCGAUACUGACGCUGAGGAGCGAAAGCGUGGGGAGCGAACAGG